UAGGGAAUCUUCCACAAUGGACGCAAGUCUGAUGGAGCAACGCCGCGUGAGUGAAGAAGGUUUUCGGACCGUAAAGCUCUGUUGUUGGUGAAGAAGGAUAGAGGUAGUAACUGGCCUUUAUUUGACGGUAAUCAACCAGAAAGUCACGGCUAACUACGUGCCAGCAGCCGCGGUAAUACGUAGGUGGCAAGCGUUGUCCGGAUUUAUUGGGCGUAAAGCGAGAGCAGGCGGAAGAAUAAGUCUGAUGUGAAAGCCCCUCGGCUUAACCGAGGAAUUGCAUCGGAAACUGUUUUUCUUGAGUGCAGAAGAGGAGAGUAGAACUCCAUGUGUAGCGGUGGAAUGCGUAGAUAUAUGGAAGAAUACCAGUGGCGAAGGCGGCUCUCUGGUCUGCAACUGACGCUGAGGCUCGAAAGCAUGGGCAGCGAACAGGAUUAGAUACCCUGGUAGUCCAUGCCGUAAACGAUGAGUGCUAAGUGUUGGGAGGCUUCCGCCUCUCAGUGCUGCAGCUAACGCAUUAAGCACUCCGCCUGGGGGAGUACGACCGCAAGGUUGA
RNAcentral lists this ribosomal RNA (553 nucleotides) under uncultured bacterium. RNAcentral's name for it is "partial 16S ribosomal RNA". It matches the Rfam family "Bacterial small subunit ribosomal RNA", at positions 355 to 897 of the family's 1533-position model. The record is from RNAcentral.